This is a long non-coding RNA of Schistocerca americana (American grasshopper), 329 nucleotides long. RefSeq lists it as uncharacterized. The transcript is spliced from 3 exons. The record is from RefSeq and is a predicted model, not a curated record. Lineage: Eukaryota; Metazoa; Arthropoda; Insecta; Orthoptera; Acrididae.
AUACAGGUGUAGUUCAGCGGGCCACAGUCGUGUUCCCUGUAGGCAGACCAGCUCGUGCAGUUUUGCACUUCGGCCCAGAGAAAUGGCUCAAGCGAGCGUUGAUACCGUUCUGCAGUACAUGGCAGAAUCCAACGUUAACUUCGCAUUCGACAUGCAUAAGACGAUGGACGCGGGAAACAUCUUUUAUUCUCCUCUCAGCAUACAUGUGAUACUUACACUAGUAUAUUUCGGUGCAAAAGGUGAAACAGCUCGGCAGAUCCGAGAGGGUCUCCGUUUACAUGGUAACGACGAUGUCAUAGAGAGAGGCAUCGAGACUACAAUGCGUGAGU